RNAcentral lists this transfer RNA (85 nucleotides) under Ferrimicrobium acidiphilum DSM 19497. It matches the Rfam family "tRNA". From Rfam's summary of the family: Transfer RNA (tRNA) molecules are approximately 80 nucleotides in length. Their secondary structure includes four short double-helical elements and three loops (D, anti-codon, and T loops). The record is from Rfam by way of RNAcentral. Lineage: Bacteria; Bacillati; Actinomycetota; Acidimicrobiia; Acidimicrobiales; Acidimicrobiaceae.
GUCGGAGUGGCGGAAUAGGUAGACGCGCUAGGUUGAGGGCCUAGUGACCGAUAAGGUCGUGCGGGUUCAAGUCCCGCCUCCGACA